UCUAAAGGAUAAGUUUAAUACUCGUCAUGAGACGACAAUAAUUGGCAUGUAAUUAUGCCACAUAUAAUCUACAAAGCAGUUCAAUGCCUAUGGGCUAGUCGCACAGUUUGCCAAGAGGACGUGUCAUGUUCAUUCGUCAACAAAACAGCGCUGCCAACCUAUUGAAAUGUACUUCCAGAACAAUUUGUCUGACUGACAUUAUUACUCAUCGCUGAUAUGAAUAGCAUGGAUCGGGGUUUGCCUCAAGCCGAAAACUAACGUCACUAUCGCUAGCUUCUCCUGUUCAACGUUGCUAGUUUCUCGAGUUAGCUUUCGGCUAACGUCGCUACCUUCUACUGUUCAUUCCACAAGAUUGGCAGCUAUGCUUUGACAAAAUCAUAAUCCUAUAUCCAAAAAUCACACUUACUUUUUUGCAAGUCCUUGAUCAUAAGCAGACCGGUUGAGAAAGCAGUCAUCUUUGAAGUGGAGAUGGCAGAGAACACUCGUCGAUGAUGGCGUGAAAUUCAUUCGCUUCGUGCGAAUAAAAGAUGUCCAUUUAAGUGCCCUGCUAUCCUUCGGCCACUGGCACAACCUUUCUGUCGAUUGCGAACAACACAUC
Molecule: long non-coding RNA, 598 nt
Organism: Hippocampus zosterae (dwarf seahorse)
Lineage: Eukaryota; Metazoa; Chordata; Actinopteri; Syngnathiformes; Syngnathidae
Exons: 2
Source: RefSeq, a predicted model, not a curated record